This is a non-coding RNA of Triticum aestivum (bread wheat), 132 nucleotides long. The record is from Rfam. NCBI's taxonomy places the organism in Eukaryota, Viridiplantae, Streptophyta, Magnoliopsida, Poales, Poaceae.
AUCAUACUUCCUCUGUCCGAAAAUACUUGUCAUCAAAAUGGAUAAAAGGAGAUGUAUAUACUCCCUCUGUUCUAGAUACAUCUUUUUUUAUCCAUUUUGAUGACAAGUAUUUUCGGACGGAGGGAGUACAUG